GAUGAACGCUGGCGGCGUGCCUAAUACAUGCAAGUCGAGCGAACAGACGAGGAGCUUGCUCCUCUGACGUUAGCGGCGGACGGGUGAGUAACACGUGGAUAACCUACCUAUAAGACUGGGAUAACUUCGGGAAACCGGAGCUAAUACCGGAUAAUAUAUUGAACCGCAUGGUUCAAUAGUGAAAGACGGUUUUGCUGUCACUUAUAGAUGGAUCCGCGCCGCAUUAGCUAGUUGGUAAGGUAACGGCUUACCAAGGCGACGAUGCGUAGCCGACCUGAGAGGGUGAUCGGCCACACUGGAACUGAGACACGGUCCAGACUCCUACGGGAGGCAGCAGUAGGGAAUCUUCCGCAAAGGGCGAAAGCCUGACGGAGCAACGCCGCGUGAGCGAUGAAGGUCUUCGGAUCGUAAAACUCUGUUAUUAGGGAAGAACAAAUGUGUAAGUAACUAUGCACGUCUUGACGGUACCUAAUCAGAAAGCCACGGCUAACUACGUG
Molecule: ribosomal RNA, 497 nt
Filed under: uncultured bacterium
Lineage: Bacteria
Description: partial 16S ribosomal RNA
Rfam family: Bacterial small subunit ribosomal RNA
Source: RNAcentral